This 339-nucleotide ribosomal RNA is filed under the name uncultured bacterium. RNAcentral describes it as "bacterial SSU rRNA". It matches the Rfam family "Bacterial small subunit ribosomal RNA", at positions 67 to 422 of the family's 1533-position model. The record is from RNAcentral.
CUCUGAUUACUGUCCUCUGAUGGGGGGGAGCGGCAGACGGGAGAGUAACACGUGGGAACGUACCCUUUGGUUCGGAACAACCCAGGGAAACUUGGGCUAAUACCGGAUAAGCCCUUACGGGGAAAGAUUUAUCGCCGAAGGAUCGGCCCGCGUCUGAUUAGCUUGUUGGUGAGGUAACGGCUCACCAAGGCGACGAUCAGUAGCUGGUCUGAGAGGAUGAUCAGCCUCACUGGGACUGAGACACGGCCCAGACUCCUACGGGAGGCAGCAGUAGGGAAUCUUCCGCAAUGGACGAAAGUCUGACGGAGCAACGCCGCGUGAGUGAUGAAGGUUUUCGGA